ACGGGGAUUUUUAUUUCGGUAGAAAUUCUAGUGGCAAACGGGUGAGUAACGCGUAGACAACCUGCCUUUCCGAUGGGGACAACAGUUCGAAAGGACUGCUAAUACCGAAUGACGUGUCUCCUUCGCAUGGAAGAGAUACCAAAGACGGCCUCUAUUUAUAAGCUGUCGCGGAAAGAUGGGUCUGCGUCUGAUUAGCUGGUUGGAGGGGUAACGGCCCACCAAGGCGACGAUCAGUAGCCGGUCUGAGAGGAUGAACGGCCACAUUGGGACUGAGAAACGGCCCAAACUCCUACGGGAGGCAGCAGUGGGGAAUCUUCCGCAAUGGACGAAAGUCUGACGGAGCAACGCCGCGUGAGUGAAGAAGGUCUUCGGAUCGUAAAGCUCUGUUGUACGGGACGAAUGUUGAAGGCGUGAAUAAUGCCAUCAAAUGACGGUACUGUACGAGGAAGCCACGGCUAACUACGUGCCAGCAGCCGCGGUAAUACGUAGGUGGCGAGCGUUGUCCGGAAUUAUUGGGCGUAAAGGGAGCGCAGGUGGGAAGGUAAGUCUGUUUUAAAAGCGUCGGGCUCAACCCGAUGAGGGAACAGAAACUAUUUUUCUUGAGUGCAGGAGAGGAAAGCGGAAUUCCUAGUGUAGCGGUGAAAUGCGUAGAUAUUAGGAGGAACACCAGUGGCGAAGGCGGCUUUCUGGACUGUAACUGACACUGAGGCUCGAAAGCCAG
This 721-nucleotide ribosomal RNA is filed under the name uncultured Selenomonas sp. Its description in RNAcentral is "bacterial SSU rRNA". It matches the Rfam family "Bacterial small subunit ribosomal RNA", at positions 66 to 763 of the family's 1533-position model. The record is from RNAcentral. Lineage: Bacteria; Bacillati; Bacillota; Negativicutes; Selenomonadales; Selenomonadaceae.